RNAcentral lists this ribosomal RNA (440 nucleotides) under uncultured bacterium. Its description in RNAcentral is "partial 16S ribosomal RNA". It matches the Rfam family "Bacterial small subunit ribosomal RNA", at positions 338 to 795 of the family's 1533-position model. The record is from RNAcentral.
CCUACGGGGGGCAGCAGUGGGGAAUAUUGCACAAUGGGGGAAACCCUGAUGCAGCGACGCCGCGUGAGUGAGGAAGUAUUUCGGUAUGUAAAGCUCUAUCAGCAGGGAAGAAAAUGACGGUACCUGACUAAGAAGCCCCUGCUAACUACGUGCCAGCCGCCGCGGUAAUACGUAGGGGGCAAGCGUUAUCUGGAUUUACUGGGUGUAAAGGGAGCGUAGACGGCUUAUCAAGUCAGAAGUGAAAGCCCAGGGCUCAACGUUGGAGCUGCAUUUGAAACUGAGUAGCUAGAGUGCAGUAGAGGUGAGCGGAAUUCCUAGUGUAGCGGUGAAAUGCGUAGAUAUUAGGAGGAACACCAGUGGCGAAGGCGGCUUACUGGACUGUAACUGACGUUGAGGCUCGAAAGCGUGGGGAGCAAACAGGAUUAGAUACCCGAGUAGUC